CCUACGGGUGGCAGCAGUGGGGAAUAUUGGGCAAUGGGCGCAAGCCUGACCCAGCCACGCCGCGUGAAGGAAGAAGGCCCUCGGGUUGUAAACUUCUUUUAUUCGGGAAGAAAAAAAUGACGGUACCGAAUGAAUAAGCCACGGAUAACUACGUGCCAGCCGCCGCGGUAAUACGUAGGUGGCAAGCGUUCUCCGGAUUUACUGGGUGUAAAGGGCGUGGAGGCGGGAGAGCAAGUCAGACGUGAAAUUCCAGGGCUCAACCCUGGAACUGCGUUUGAAACUGUUGUUCUGGAGUGAUGGAGAGGCAGGCGGAAUUCCGGGGGUAGCGGUGAAAUGCGUAGAGAGACGGAGGAACACCAGUGGCGAAGGCGGCCUGCUGGACAGUAACUGACGCUGAGGCGCGAAAGCGUGGGGAGCAAACAGGAUUAGAUACCCUGGUAGUC
RNAcentral lists this ribosomal RNA (443 nucleotides) under uncultured bacterium. RNAcentral's name for it is "partial 16S ribosomal RNA". It matches the Rfam family "Bacterial small subunit ribosomal RNA", at positions 338 to 795 of the family's 1533-position model. The record is from RNAcentral.